GGUUGAAACCAUAUCCUAUUCAACUAAGCCCGUGCAUUUGGGGCGUAGUUGUGUCCCAGUGAAGGAGGGGCUCCAGAGCAUCAUCAAAUGUCUCAAGGCACAAGAUGUCACCAACCUAAAUCUGCUACAGAAGAAUGAGCGCAUCAAACAAUGCUCCUGUUCCGUUUGUCGUCCUCCCUCUCUCCGAUCAUGUCAGAUGAGGUCACCUAGAGACAUGCUUUGGAACACCGAUCUGAGAGGUUCAACAUAUCUACAGUCAGCAUUCCACAGACCCCAGCCAUCCUAUGGAGGACGCCUUCAACUAACCACCACGCCGUAUAGCGAUGC
This is a long non-coding RNA of Lineus longissimus, 327 nucleotides long. RefSeq lists it as uncharacterized. The transcript is spliced from 3 exons. NCBI's taxonomy places the organism in Eukaryota, Metazoa, Nemertea, Pilidiophora, Heteronemertea, Lineidae. The record is from RefSeq and is a predicted model, not a curated record.